RNAcentral lists this long non-coding RNA (165 nucleotides) under Penaeus monodon (black tiger shrimp). Its description in RNAcentral is "uncharacterized LOC119569502, transcript variant X1". The record is from RNAcentral. Lineage: Eukaryota; Metazoa; Arthropoda; Malacostraca; Decapoda; Penaeidae.
GGACGUUCCCAAAGGAAACUGAUGGACUCCCAGAUAGCUGAUUCUAUAGACUUCAUGGUAGAGAGAUUAGAGAGUCUGAACCAGAGUGAGUUGGCAUCCAGACUCACCCUCAACUGCUCUCCAGCCUAUAUUCAGCCACAGAAGGUUCAGGUGGAAGUAACAAUA